RNAcentral lists this ribosomal RNA (200 nucleotides) under uncultured bacterium. RNAcentral describes it as "partial 16S ribosomal RNA". It matches the Rfam family "Bacterial small subunit ribosomal RNA", at positions 524 to 723 of the family's 1533-position model. The record is from RNAcentral.
UACGGAGGGUGCAAGCGUUAAUCGGAAUUACUGGGCGUAAAGCGCGCGUAGGCGGUUUGUUUAGCGAGAUGUGAAAGCCCUGGGCUCAACCUGGGAACUGCAUUUCGAACUGGCAGGCUAGAGUACAAGAGAGGGUGGUAGAAUUUCCUGUGUAGCGGUGAAAUGCGUAGAUAUAGGAAGGAAUACCAGUGGCGAAGGCG